This 54-nucleotide small nucleolar RNA is filed under the name Geoglobus ahangari. RNAcentral describes it as "Small nucleolar RNA sR1". It matches the Rfam family "Small nucleolar RNA sR1". The record is from Rfam by way of RNAcentral. Lineage: Archaea; Methanobacteriati; Methanobacteriota; Archaeoglobi; Archaeoglobales; Archaeoglobaceae.
GCCAAUGAUGAAUGAUGGGCGAUCUGACAGGUGAUGAGAGGGGAGAGGCUGAGG